This is a long non-coding RNA of Stegodyphus dumicola, 436 nucleotides long. The record is from RefSeq and is a predicted model, not a curated record. NCBI's taxonomy places the organism in Eukaryota, Metazoa, Arthropoda, Arachnida, Araneae, Eresidae.
AGAAGGGAGGGGGUUAUUCAGUGGUUGCUUACCGUUCAUCGUUCUGAUAGCAAGGGGCCCCUUUCACCCAACUACCCGUCGCACUAAGGUGCAAAGACGGCAGUCGGGGCCAGGUUCACUUGGAAGGCAAUAACCUUACCUAGUGCCUAUCACUUUAUUUUGCUUAACUCCAAGGAAACUUUCUCAAGUUAGCACGUCUUCACGGCCUUUCUAUCGAUAUCGGACAGCGGUCACUAGCACGGUUUUCUUGAAGAUCACAUGGACAACUUAUUGGAAUGUUUUCUUUUUUUUUUAAAAGUAAUUUUGAAGCAGAAAGGCAAGUUACUUCGAAAACAAAAGGGACGGAACCGUUUUCUUGGAUUACUAUUUUCAGAAUUUUUCAUCUGAGAAAAAACAUUCUAUAAUGUAUUAAUAAAUGUGUGUUUUUUAAACUGUC